AUGCAUUAUUUGUAGUUGAAACAAUCUGUGUUUUCAUGCAUUAUUUGUAGUUGAAAGAGUCAUUAUUUCAAAGCCACAAUAUUUUUUUUCAGUUGCUAGCAAUGAGGCUUGAAAUAAGAGGCUGGAGGUAUGGCAGGGGAGAGAUGUAAGAUUUGGUUGCAGUAUUGGCUGAAAUUCAGUAGUAACUAACAACUUGAGUAGCCCAUUGAAUCAGUUGAGAUAAGUCAACACCUAUGUAAUUCCGACAGAUUUAAUGGACCUAUUGGAAUUGUGACUUACUACUGGAUUUUAGCCAAUCUGUCUUGACCUGCUAGAAGUGAGCAUUGAGAUACCAAUCUGGGCAAAGAAUGGGCCAGUGUUGGGCUGCUGUUAAAGGUUUGCUUGUGCAGCAGCCUGUUAAGAGAGCGAUUUCUGCCUAGGCAGUGAAGACCACUUUCAUGUCAUUUUGCCUUUUACAAAAGGCAAGCAACUUGUUUUUACUCAGUUUGCCCAAUCUUAUUGAGUAAAUAAAAUUCAAGAACACUUAUUAAGGUUAGGUAUUGGUGAUGUUUUACAUUCAUUAUACAGUUUUGUUUUCCUGAAAAGCAGACAUCAGAGACUUGUUGCAAUACUUUGAAAACAAAAAGUGCUGGAACAGAAAAAAGGGAACCUCUGCUUGCAUUUCCUGUAGCUGAGAGACAGUAAAGCAAGGAUCUGUCGUUGCACAUGGGCAGACAUGGUUAUGGGACGUGCAGGGUGGUUCCUCAUUUUUCCUUUAAUUUAAUUGGAAAAGAUUAUAUCACCGAGUCUGACUUUCUCCACCCCCUUUGUUAAUGACAUACAUGGGUGGAGUGGCUGCUGUUUUCACCUUCUGGCCACAGUGAUUUUUUUGCCUUUGCUGCACAGAAUGGCGGAACAGAUGCUGCCUAACAGAUACUCCUCCAAACAGAUUUCUUCAGAUGUCUUGGAUUGUGUAUGACUCCAAUAAUCCUCUAACCAGAGGGAUUCCUCUCGUUCUGAACUUGGAUCCCCAUCAUCACAAGCUCAGAGGACGGUGCUCACUGCAUUGCAAUAAGGACUUGCCAUAAAGACAUACUGUACCUAGCCUUAACAUGGAGUUCCCAGGUCCUUGAGAAAAAUGAAUUACCAAGACUCAUGUGUAAUAUGGCAAACUAAGAAGUGCAGUUCUAACGGUGUAAUUGUCAACAGAAGAGUUGCUUGUUACUAUGGCUAAUUCUAUUCUGCUUUCUACAUUAAACAAAUAAUCUAUCACAAUACAGUAUACCGAAGUAUAUAAUUUAUUCAUAAGAACAUAAGAAGAGCCCUGCUUGAUCAGGUCAAGGGCACAUCUAGUCCAGCUCCCUGUAUCUCACAGCAGCCCCACCAGAUGCCUCUGGGAGCACACGAGAUCACUAGAUACCUGUCUCCUGAUACCCCU
This 1417-nucleotide long non-coding RNA is filed under the name Pogona vitticeps (central bearded dragon). RNAcentral describes it as "lncRNA (ENSPVIG00000013346.1)". Lineage: Eukaryota; Metazoa; Chordata; Lepidosauria; Squamata; Agamidae. The record is from RNAcentral.